Molecule: ribosomal RNA, 404 nt
Filed under: uncultured bacterium
Lineage: Bacteria
Description: bacterial SSU rRNA
Rfam family: Bacterial small subunit ribosomal RNA
Source: RNAcentral
UGGGGAAUAUUGCACAAUGGGGGAAACCCUGAUGCAGCGACGCCGCGUGAAGGAAGAAGUAUUUCGGUAUGUAAACUUCUAUCAGCAGGGAAGAAGAUGACGGUACCUGACUAAGAAGCUCCGGCUAAAUACGUGCCAGCAGCCGCGGUAAUACGUAUGGAGCAAGCGUUAUCCGGAUUUACUGGGUGUAAAGGGAGCGUAGGCGGCAUGGCAAGUCAGAUGUGAAAGCCCGGGGCUCAACCGCGGGACUGCAUUUGAAACUGUUAAGCUGGAGUACCGGAGAGGUAAGUGGAAUUCCUAGUGUAGCGGUGAAAUGCGUAGAUAUUAGGAGGAACACCAGUGGCGAAGGCGGCUUACUGGACGGUAACUGACGCUGAGGCUCGAAAGCGUGGGGAGCAAACAGG